Molecule: transfer RNA, 76 nt
Filed under: Marmota monax (woodchuck)
Lineage: Eukaryota; Metazoa; Chordata; Mammalia; Rodentia; Sciuridae
Description: tRNA.Undet
Source: RNAcentral
GGGGGUGCAGCUCAGUGGUAGAGCAAACCAUGAGCUAAGAAACAUGAGGCUCUGGGUUCAAUCCCCAGCACAAUUA